Molecule: ribosomal RNA, 506 nt
Filed under: uncultured bacterium
Lineage: Bacteria
Description: partial 16S ribosomal RNA
Rfam family: Bacterial small subunit ribosomal RNA
Source: RNAcentral
AUUGAACGCUGGCGGCAGGCCUAACACAUGCAAGUCGAACGGCAGCGGGGGAUAGCUUGCUAUCCUGCCGGCGAGUGGCGGACGGGUGAGUAAUGCCUGGGGAGCUGCCCAAUCGAGGGGGAUACCAACUGGAAACGGUUGCUAAUACCGCAUACGCCCUGCGGGGGAAAGGUGGGGACCUUCGGGCCUACCGCGAUUGGAUGCACCCAGGUGGGAUUAGCUGGUUGGUGAGGUAACGGCUCACCAAUGCGACGAUCUCUAGCUGGUCUGAGAGGAUGACCAGCCACACUGGAACUGAGACACGGUCCAGACUCCUACGGGAGGCAGCAGUGGGGAAUAUUGCACAAUGGGGGAAACCCUGAUGCAGCCAUGCCGCGUGUGUGAAGAAGGCCUUCGGGUUGUAAAGCACUUUCAGUGGGGAGGAAGGGGCGAUGCCUAAUACGCAUUGUCAUUGACGUUACCCACAGAAGAAGCACCGGCUAACUCCGUGCCAGCAGCCGCAGUAA